CGCGACCCAGGUCAGGCACCGAACACCCGCUUGAGUUUAGCAUAUCAAUAAGCGGUAGAGCGAAAAGAAACUUACCAGGAUUCCCCUAGUAACGCUGAGCGACACCGGGAAGAGACCCGCGGAAGAGCCCAGCUUGAGGAAUCGGGCGCCCUCGGCGUCGAAUUGUAGUCUUGGAGAAGCCGUCCUACAGCGGCGGACCGGGCCCAAGUCCCCUGGAAAGGGGGCCCGGCAGAGGAGUGAGAGCCCCGUCUGUGCCGGGACCCUGUCCACACGCAGGCCGCUGUCUGCGAGUCGGGUUGUUUGGAAAUGCAGCCCCAAUCGGGCGGUUUAAAUUCCAGGUCCAAGGCUAUAAACGUGCGAAUGAGACGAUAGGCGAACAAGUACCGCGAGGGAAAGAUGAAAAAGGACCUUUGAAAAGAGAGUCAAAGAGAUUUGCUUGAAAUUGUCGGAGGAAGCGGUAUGGGGGCCGGCGAUGUGCGCCCCCCGUCGGAUGCUGGAACGGCUGAACAAAGCCGGUCCGCCGAUCGGCCGGGCGCGCGGACCGACCGCGUGAUCGCGGCGGCGGCCCAAGCUCCGCGCACUAGAAACGCCCGCGGAGACGCUUCGUCGCAAGCGAUCGGUGGACAUCAGCGCGCGCGCGUCAACGUCGCUGCCCCCGGACCCGCGCGCUGCACUUGGCGUCGGCCAGCGGGCUCCCCAUUCGGCCCUGAUCUUGAAACACGGACAAGGAAGUCUGACAUGUGUGCGAGUCACGGCGAUGGUAAACCCGUAAGGCGCAAGGAAAGUCUGACGUGGGGAUCCCCUCUGAGGGUUGGCACCGCACCGAACCGACUCGAUCUUCGAGAAGGGUGUCGAGUGACCGAGCAUGCCUGUUCGGACCCGAAGAUGGUGAACUAUGCCUGGAGCGGGCUGCGAAGCCAGUAGGAAACUCUUUGGUGGACGGCCGCAGCGAUCAUGACGUGCAAAAUCGUUCGUCUGACUUGGGUAAUAGGGGCGACAAGACUAAGUCAACCGUCUAGUAGCUGGUUCCCUCCGAAGUUUCCAUCAGAAGCUGGAGCUCGGGACGAGUUCUAUCGGGUAAAGCCAUAUGAUUUAGAGGCAUCGGGGGCGCAACGCCUCGACCUAUUCUCAACUUUAAAUAGGUAGGACGGCGCGGCUGCUUCGUCUAGCGGCGCCAACGGACAUCGAGAAGCUCCAACGUGGGCCACUUCCUUCUCCGCACCUCAACCGCACCGCAACUUGGCCGCACUCGCGGGUCGAACGGAAGCCGGGCUUACCCGGUGCCCAAACUGCGCGCUAACCCAGAACCCCAAAGGACUCUGCUUGGUCGAUUAAGACGCAGUGACGGGUGGUCAUGUGAAGUCGAAAUCCGCUAAGAGAUGUGUAACAACUCACCUGCCGAAUCAAACUAGCCACCGAAAUGGAUAGGCGCUUAAGCGCGCGACUAUACCGGCCGUCGGGCAAGUAGCCAGGCCCGCAUGAGUUAGGAGGGCGCGGCCCGCGCUGCAAAACCCGGGGCGCCCGAGGCCGCCGGCGCGAAGGGCGUCGGUGCAGAUUCUUCGGUGUGGUCCAGUAGCAAAUAUUCAAAUUGAGAACUUGAAAGCCGAAGAGCGUGGAAAAGGUUCCAUGUGAACGGCACUUGCACAUGGGUUAAGGUCGAUCCUAAGAGACGGCGGAAGCCCGUCCGACAGCGCGUGUCCGCGCGCGAGCUUUUCGAAAGGGAAAUGGCUGUAUAAAUUCCCGAACCGGACGCGGCGGCUGACUGGCAACGUUAGGGAGUCCGGAGACUACGGCGGGGGCCUCGGGUAAGAGUUAUCUUUUCUGUUUAACAGCCUCGCCCACCCUGGCAAACGACUCAGUCGGAGGUAAGGGUCCAGCGGCCGAAAGAAGCAACCGCACGUCCCCGCGCCCGGGUCUGUCCGGUGCGCCGCCCGGCGGCCCGUGAAAAUCCAGGGAGGACCGAGUGCUCCCGCGCCACCCGGUCCGUACUCUAUACACCCGCAUCAGGUCUCCAAGUGAACAGUGCCUCUGGCAAUUGGGAACAAUUGUAGGCAAGGGAAGUCGGCCCAAAACGGAUCCGUAACCCGGGAAAAAGGAAUUGGCUCUGAGGGCUGGGCCGGGGGUCUCCAUCCCAAUCCCGUCGGCUGUCGGCGGACUGCUCACCUCCCGCGCCAGAGCGGAUCCCGGCCUUCAGGCGUGCCGGCCCGGGCGACGGGACUGGAACGGCCCUCCGGGGCCUUCCUCCGGGCGUCGAACAGUUCGGACUUCAGAACUCGUUUACGGACAAGGGGGAAAUCCGACUGCUAUAAUUAAAACAAAGGCAUUGCGAUGCGUCCCUGCGGAUGCUCACGCAAUGUGAUUUCUGCCCAGUGCUCUGCAAUGUGCAAAGUUGAAAGAAAUUCAACCAAGCGCGGGUUUAAACGCGGAGAGUAACUAUGACUCUCUUAACGGUAGCCAAAUGCCUUCGUCAUUCCUAAUUAGUACGCGCUUAAUAAUGGAUUAACGAGAGAUUCCCACUGUCCCUGUCUACUAUCAGCGGAACCCACAGCCAACGGGAACGGCUUGGCGGAAUCAGCGGGGAAAGAAGACCCUGUUGAGCUUGACUUAGUCCGACUUUGUGAAAAUGACUUGAGAGGUGCUAGCGCAUAAGUGGACCCCCUAGCCGGAAACUAGGCGACGGUGAAAUACCACUACUUUUAACGUUAUUUUACUUAUUCCGUGAAUCGGAGGCGGCGGCCUCUGCCCCUCUUUUUGGAACCCAAAGCCGCCAACGGCGGACCGAUGCGGGCGGAAGACAUUGUCACGGCUGGGGAGUUUGGGCUGGGCGGCAAACAUCUGUUAAAGAAUAACGCAGGUGUCCUAAGAUGAGCUCAACGAGAACAGAAAUCUCGUGCUGCGAACAAAGGGUAAGCUCGUUUGAUUUCUCGAUCUUUCCAGUACGAAUACGAACCGUGGAAAGCGUCUGGCCUAUCGAUCCAUUUAGACCUCGGAAUUUGAUAGCUAAAGUCGUCAGAAAAGUGUACCAAGGGAUAACUGGCUUUGCUUGGCAGCAAGACGCUUCAUAGCGACGUUGCUUGAUCUUCGAUGUCGCUCUUCCUUAGUCAUGUGAAGCAGCAAAUUCACCCAAGUUGUUGGAUUGUUCACCCACCAAUACUGGAACUGUGAGCUGGUUUUUAGUACCGUCGCUGAGACAGGUUAGUUUUUACCCUUAACAUAAAUACACGCGUCCGCGAUGUAAUUCAACCUAGUACGAAGAGGAACCGUGCAUUCCACAAACAUUGCCGUCAUCAGCGCUUGGUUUGAAAAGCCAGUGGCUCGCGAAGCUACCGUGCGCUGAUUAUGACUGAACUGCCUCUAAGUCAGCAUCCGGGCCAGAAGCGACGCUCCUACGUGCUCCGGCGCCCGGCUUUGCCGGCAAUACUCCGUCAUGUAGGGGUCCCUCGGCCACCCAGAGGCACGCACGUGGCCAAGCCCCCCGCGGCAGGUACGAGACCGCGCGUCGCANNN
This 3507-nucleotide ribosomal RNA is filed under the name Hevea brasiliensis (rubber tree). Its description in RNAcentral is "eukaryotic LSU rRNA". It matches the Rfam family "Eukaryotic large subunit ribosomal RNA". The record is from RNAcentral. Lineage: Eukaryota; Viridiplantae; Streptophyta; Magnoliopsida; Malpighiales; Euphorbiaceae.